UUCCCUCCUUUGUCCAGCAUUCCCGGGAGGGAGAAAGGCGGCACUCCUCAGGUUCCUGGCACAUCAUUCUUGUUGAUGGGUAUGUUAUGUACACAUCUCGGCCCUCAGUGACAUCUCUAAGGAAGGAAAUUUGUUGAAAUCAUACUUUGGGAGAACAAAGCAAGGUAUAAAUACUAAUAUGUUUUUCUUCUUAGUGUUAGUUCAGAUCUAUACAGCAGAAAAGGUGCUUUGAUGGCCACCUUACACCCAUGUCAUGUAGACACAGGCUGCACAGAAGAGUCACAGUGAUAUGGUUUGGCUGUGUCCCCACCCAAAUCUCAUCUUGAAUUGUAACUCCCAUAUUUCCCAUGUGUUGUGGGAGGGGCCCAGUGGGAGGUAGUCAAAUCAUGGGGGUGGGUCUUAUCCCAUGAAUAAGUAUCAUGAGAUCUGAUGGUUUUAUAAAGGGGAGUUCCCUUGCACAUGCUCUCUCUUGCCUGCCACCAUGUGAGACAUGACUUUGCUCCUCAUUUGCCUUCUGCCAUGACUGUGAGGCCUCCCUACGUGGAACUGUGAGUCAAUUAAACCUCUUUCCUUUG
This 575-nucleotide long non-coding RNA is filed under the name Homo sapiens (human). Its description in RNAcentral is "HSALNT0308146". Lineage: Eukaryota; Metazoa; Chordata; Mammalia; Primates; Hominidae. The record is from RNAcentral.